GAUGAACGCUGGCGGCGUGCUUAACACAUGCAAGUCGAACGAACCUUCGGGUUAGUGGCGGACGGGUGAGUAACGCGUGAGAAUCUGCCCUCAGGAGGGGGAUAACAGCUGGAAACGGCUGCUAAUACCCCAUAUGCCGCGAGGUGAAAUGAAUUUCGCCUGAGGAUGAGCUCGCGUCUGAUUAGCUAGUUGGUGUAGGUAAUGGCUCACCAAGGCAUCGAUCAGUAGCUGGUCUGAGAGGAUGAUCAGCCACACUGGGACUGAGACACGGCCCAGACUCCUACGGGAGGCAGCAGUGGGGAAUUUUCCGCAAUGGGCGAAAGCCUGACGGAGCAACGCCGCGUGAGGGAUGAAGGCCUCUGGGCUGUAAACCUCUUUUAUCAAGGAAGAAGAUCUGACGGUACUUGAUGAAUAAGCCACGGCUAAUUCCGUGCCAGCAGCCGCGGUAAUACGGGAGUGGCAAGCGUUAUCCGGAAUUAUUGGGCGUAAAGCGUCCGCAGGCGGCCCUUCAAGUCUGCUG
This 520-nucleotide ribosomal RNA is filed under the name uncultured bacterium. Its description in RNAcentral is "bacterial SSU rRNA". It matches the Rfam family "Bacterial small subunit ribosomal RNA", at positions 28 to 594 of the family's 1533-position model. The record is from RNAcentral.